CCAAUCCCAGCAUGAAGAUCCUUUAUCUGCUGUUCACAUUCCUUUUCCUUGCAUUCCUGUCUGAACCAGGUAUUGCCCGGAGGGAGUGUUACAGACAAGGAGGACGCUGCUUUAAUGGUUACUGUCCAAUGAAUUUUUUGGACCUUAGGAGACUGGAUUGUGGACCGAGAUUUAGAUGCUGUAGACACCACAAUGGAAAAUGAUGUCACUCCAUCUACAACCCUGGAUGUCUUCAAGAUAUGUCCAAUGACCUGAGAUUACUACCUGCUAUCGCUUUUGCUUGCUCUUCAACCACACUUUAUGCCAUAAAGUCACACAUUCCCAUUCUUCCCCAUCUGUUUAUUUAUUGAAGAAGUUAUUUUGCCACUGAGGUCUUCCAACUGACGUGGUUGCUUGAGCAGAAGUAGAACAAAACAAAAACUAUUAACCAAGACCCCACAAUGGAAAAUACAAGACCUAGAUUAUUCUGAUACUUAAGAAACUCUUAAGAUUAUGUUUUUCAAGAUAAAUACUGUGGGAUACUACUUAGAACAAGAACGUCCCUGUCUGUUAACUCGGUAUCACCAUAGGCUAGGUGUUGAUAAAAGAAUGGAAGAUGUAGCAAGAGAAAAUUUGCACGAAAGAUAUCUUUCCUGAACCAUUCUGUUUGUUAAGUGCAGAGACCAAAAGACAUAUACUAUUAAUUUUGAUCACCAGCAUAAAACAAAAGGAAAGAUUACAAGAAGAAAAAAAAAUAUCAGAGCCUG
Molecule: long non-coding RNA, 746 nt
Organism: Ahaetulla prasina
Lineage: Eukaryota; Metazoa; Chordata; Lepidosauria; Squamata; Colubridae
Exons: 3
Source: RefSeq, a predicted model, not a curated record